This 254-nucleotide ribosomal RNA is filed under the name uncultured prokaryote. Its description in RNAcentral is "partial 16S ribosomal RNA". It matches the Rfam family "Bacterial small subunit ribosomal RNA", at positions 521 to 774 of the family's 1533-position model. The record is from RNAcentral.
UAAUACGGGGGGGGCAAGCGUUGUUCGGAAUUACUGGGCGUAAAGGGCGCGUAGGCGGCCUGCUAAGUCGGACGUGAAAUCCCCCGGCUCAACCGGGGAACUGCGUCCGAUACUGGUGGGCUCGAAUCCGGGAGAGGGAUGUGGAAUUCCAGGUGUAGCGGUGAAAUGCGUAGAUAUCUGGAGGAACACCGGUGGCGAAGGCGGCAUCCUGGACCGGUAUUGACGCUGAUGCGCGAAAGCCAGGGGAGCAAACG